GUCCACGCCGUAACGAUGUCAACUAGGUGUUGGGACGGUUAAUCGUCUCAUUGCCGCAGCUAACGCAUUAAGUUGACCGCCUGGGAGUACGGUCGCAAGAUUAAACUCAAGGAAUUGACGGGCCCGCACAAGCGGUGGAGUAUGUGGUUUAAUUCGACGCAACGCGCAGAACCUUACCUGGUCUUGACAUCCCGGGAAUCCUGUGGAAACAUGGGAGUGCCUCGUAAGAGGAGCCCGGUGACAGGUGCUGCAUGGCUGUCGU
This 262-nucleotide ribosomal RNA is filed under the name uncultured bacterium. Its description in RNAcentral is "partial 16S ribosomal RNA". It matches the Rfam family "Bacterial small subunit ribosomal RNA", at positions 793 to 1055 of the family's 1533-position model. The record is from RNAcentral.